AGAGUUUGAUCCUGGCUCAGGAUGAACGCUAGCGGCAGGCUUAAUACAUGCAAGUCGAGGGGCAGCAUGGUGCAGCAAUACGCUGAUGGCGACCGGCAAACGGGUGCGGAACACGUACAGAACCUUCCUUCGAGCGGGGAAUAGCCCAGAGAAAUUUGGAUUAAUACCCCAUAGUACAACGGAGUGGCAUCGCUUUGUUGUUAAAGAUUUAUCACUUGAAGAUGGCCGUGCGGCUGAUUAGGUAGUUGGCGGGGUAACGGCCCACCAAGCCUGCGAUCAGUAACUGGUGUGAGAGCACGACCAGUCACACGGGCACUGAGACACGGCCCAGACUCCUACGGGAGGCAGCAGUGGGGAAUUUUGGACAAUGGGGGCAACCCUGAUCCAGCCAUGCCGCGUGAGUGAAGAAGGCCUUCGGGUUGUAAAGCUCUUUCAGCCGGGAAGAAAACGCACUCUCUAACAUAGGGUGUAGAUGACGGUACCGGACCAAGAAGCACCGGCUAACUACGUGCCAGCAGCCGCGGUAAUA
Molecule: ribosomal RNA, 529 nt
Filed under: uncultured Bacteroidota bacterium
Lineage: Bacteria; Pseudomonadati; Bacteroidota
Description: bacterial SSU rRNA
Rfam family: Bacterial small subunit ribosomal RNA
Source: RNAcentral